This is a non-coding RNA of Pelobates cultripes (western spadefoot toad), 247 nucleotides long. Lineage: Eukaryota; Metazoa; Chordata; Amphibia; Anura; Pelobatidae. The record is from the annotation of a GenBank genome assembly.
GGUCGAAGACUUGCAUUGGCCCUGCAUUGGCCGUGCAUUGCAUCACGGUGCAAGUCACAUCAUCACAGUUAAACAUCACGACCAAUAAUCAUCACAUAAAACCAUGCUGACAUAAUUGAAAGUCAAGGCCCUUGGGAAGCAGAGGCAAGCUUUUGGUACUCUGAAAAUACAAUCCCUGGUUAAACCCUAGUUGCAACAUGAUGACCCUAGGGAGUAGUAGACCUUAUUAUUCCCUUACAUUUUGAGG